AUGGAGCGGACCUUCAUGAUCUUGGCGAUCUCGAUGACGUCGUCGAGGCUGAUGUUGCCGUUGUGCUUGAUGUUCUUGACCUUCUUGCGGUCCCUCUCGGGCUCCUUGAGCGCCUUGAUGACGAGGGCUGCGGCGGAGGGGACGACGGACACCUUGGCCUGGCGAUUCUGGACGGUGAGCUUGACGGUGACGCGGAGGCCCUUCCAGUCCUUGGCCGUCUCCUUGGCGAUGUCUUCUCCGAUCUUCUUUGGGGAGAGACCGAGCGGACCGAUCUUGGGGGCCAGGGACGACGCAGCGCCGACCUCCCCGCCGGUGACGCGGACAUACACCUCCACGAUCUGGGACGGGUCGAGCUUGGGAGGCAUGGCUGCGAGCUUGGGCUGGGGAGGAUUGGCUGUGGGUGUGGCGGCGGCUGGAGUUGGAGAUGCUAGGGUUUGA
RNAcentral lists this ribosomal RNA (438 nucleotides) under Triticum aestivum (bread wheat). RNAcentral describes it as "partial small subunit ribosomal RNA". Lineage: Eukaryota; Viridiplantae; Streptophyta; Magnoliopsida; Poales; Poaceae. The record is from RNAcentral.